GGGUUUGGGGUUGGGUGUGGGUGAGGUUAUUUAUAACCUUUCCCUUUUAAUCUCAGACGUCUAUCACGAUUUAAUAUGGACCGUCCGAUCGCGAUUAAAAUAGAAAUAAAUUUGGGUCGUCCAUCGCGAUGCAAUCUGGGCUGUCCAUGCGUGAUUCAAUUUGGGUCGUUCGCACGCGUGAGAUCUGAACUAUCCGUGCGCGUGAGAUCUGGACUGUCCGUACACGUGAGAUUUGGACCAUUUGAUCGCGUGCACGCGGAUCACCCACAUGGCUCCGUCUCGCAUGGCCUCCCACGUCAGCGUCCUUGCCACGCGGCAUGUUCUGGUUGGCCGGGGCUACUGACUGGGCUGCUGACGUGGCUUCUGACGUGGUACAACUUUUUUAAAUUACGUUUUGACUCUUGGUUUUCGAUUUUCUUUUCAAAAACACCC
This 432-nucleotide long non-coding RNA is filed under the name Carica papaya (papaya). RNAcentral's name for it is "long non-coding RNA (CPAP_LNC003592)". Lineage: Eukaryota; Viridiplantae; Streptophyta; Magnoliopsida; Brassicales; Caricaceae. The record is from RNAcentral.